This 878-nucleotide ribosomal RNA is filed under the name uncultured bacterium. RNAcentral describes it as "bacterial SSU rRNA". It matches the Rfam family "Bacterial small subunit ribosomal RNA", at positions 24 to 859 of the family's 1533-position model. The record is from RNAcentral.
UCAGGGCGGAACGCCGGGCGCGGGCCCUAAUACCAUGCAAAUUCGAGCGAGCGGAACCCAACAGAUUUACUUUCGGUAAUGACGUUGGAAAAGCGAGCGGCGGGAUGGGGUGGAGUAACACGUGGGGAACCUGCCCCUAAGUCCGGGAUACCAUUUGGAAACAGGUGCUAAUACCGGAUAAUAAAGCAGAUCGCAUGAUCAGCUUUUGAAAGGCGGCGUAAGCUGUCGCUAAGGGAUGGCCCCGCGGUGCAUUAGCUAGUUGGUAAGGUAACGGCUUACCAAGGCGACGAUGCAUAGCCGAGUUGAGAGACUGAUCGGCCACAUUGGGACUGAGACACGGCCCAAACUCCUACGGGAGGCAGCAGUAGGGAAUCUUCCACAAUGGACGCAAGUCUGAUGGAGCAACGCCGCGUGAGUGAAGAAGGUUUUCGGAUCGUAAAGCUCUGUUGUUGGUGAAGAAGGAUAGAGGUAGUAACUGGCCUUUAUUUGACGGUAAUCAACCAGAAAGUCACGGCUAACUACGUGCCAGCAGCCGCGGUAAUACGUAGGUGGCAAGCGUUGUCCGGAUUUAUUGGGCGUAAAGCGAGCGCAGGCGGAAAAAUAAGUCUAAUGUGAAAGCCCUCGGCUUAACCGAGGAACUGCAUCGGAAACUGUUUUUCUUGAGUGCAGAAGAGGAGAGUGGAACUCCAUGUGUAGCGGUGGAAUGCGUAGAUAUAUGGAAGAACACCAGUGGCGAAGGCGGCUCUCUGGUCUGCAACUGACGCUGAGGCUCGAAAGCAUGGGUAGCGAACAGGAUUAGAUACCCUGGUAGUCCAUGCCGUAAACGAUGAGUGCUAAGUGUUGGGAGGUNUCCGCCUCUCAGUGCUGCAGCUAACGCA